GUAGAUAUAUUCAGGUCAGGAGUCUUCUCAAACAUGUGAAGUUUGGGGCAGAUUGGACAUUGUAUGUCUGAGUUAUAACAACUUCCUUUCUCAUGGCGAAACAUCGAUAUUUGUAAGGCCGCCAUGGACACGCCGUUUAACGAAACCUCAAGAUCUUCGCAAUUUAAUAUCGCAAAGGGCUUUAGAUUACACUGAGCAAUUUUGGUGUUGAUCUGAAUAAAUCUCUAGGAGGAGUUCGUUAAAGUACAACCCCUGAAAAUGGCAAAAACAACACCAAUUUUGCAGGGAAAAUUCAAAAUAACCGACUUCCUGUUGGGAUUCGGAUUUCGUACCAAGAGACUUUUUUGUAGGUAUUGGUGUGUUACAUGUGUGUACCGAUUUUCGUACAUGUACGUGAAACAUAGCUCGAGGCGCACUCCGUUGAAACUGUAUAGGUGGCGCUAUCGAGCCAUUUUUCCACACCCGAUGGAAUAUUGGCCUUCAGAUGUGUUCAGGCCAGGAAUCUUAUCAAACAUGUGAAGUUUGGGGAAGAACGGACAUUUUAUGCCUGAGUUAUAACAUCUUUUAUUCCCAUGGCGAGACAUCGAACUUUGUGACGGCGCCAUGGACACGCCCUUUAACGAAAACUCAAGAUCUUCACAAUUUAACAUCGCACAGGCCUUUAGAAUAUAGUGACUGAAAAAAAAAAUUUAUGUCAUAAAAUUUCUCGGGGUAGUUUGUUACAGUGUAAAAUAUGUCACUUCCUGUUGCCAGUAGGUGGCGCUAUGACUAUAACUGAAUAUGGGCAUAUCAAUCUGUUCAGGUCAGGAGUCUUAUCAAACAUGUGAAGUUUGUGGCAGAUUGGACAUUGUAGGUCUGAGUUAUAGCAACUUCAUUUUUCAUGGCGAAUCAUCGAAAUUCGUUAGGCCGCCACGGACACGCCCUUCAACGAAAACUCAAGAUCUUCGCAAUUUAACAUCGCAAAGGCCUUUAGAUUAGGCAUACCAAAUUUGGUGUUGAUCUGAAAAAAUCUCUAGGAGGAGUUCGUUAAAAUACAAGGCAUGCAAAUGACAAAAAUGAUGCAAAAUUUGCUCAUAAAAUUAAAAAUAACCGACUUCCUGUUGGGUUUUGGAUAUUGCUCCAAGAGUCUUUUUUGUAGGUACUGAUGCUUUACAUAUGUGUGCCAAUUUUCGUGCAUGUAUGUGAAACACAGCUCGAGGGCUGUUGAUUUUUUUACGAUAGGUGGCGCUGUCGAGCCAUUUUGCCACACCCUCUUCUGAAACCUAUAUCAGACGUAAAUUUUCACCAGGUCUGACGCGUGUGCAAAGUUUCAGGACUUUUCGAGCAUGUUUAGGCCCUCAAAAAUGCGAUUCAUUUUGGAGAAGAAGAAGAAGAAGAAGAAGAAGAAGAAUAAUAAUAAUAAUUAAAGCUGCAAGCAGCGAUGAACGGGCCCUCGCACCCGGGCUCACCGCCAGCGGGUGGCUUUAGUAAAACAGCUAACGGCGAGAAAUAUGCAUUUAAUGUGGUAAAUAUAAGAGGAAUAUGUCAAAGUCAUUUAUAUGUGCCAAUCUUCCUGCUGCCAGCUGGUGGCGCUAUGACUAUAACUGGAUUUUGUCAUGUAGAUUUCUU
Cyprinus carpio carpio is the source of this 1608-nucleotide long non-coding RNA. Lineage: Eukaryota; Metazoa; Chordata; Actinopteri; Cypriniformes; Cyprinidae. The record is from Ensembl.